AGACGGUAGAGAUUCCGUCACCACCAAAAGAGUUAAACACAGGGACACAUAUGAAGUCUCGGAGCCGGGUGUUGGUUCCGGUAGCGAUCGAGGGAAGUUAGUACCGAAGUCCGGGAUGGAAGAUGGCGAGAAAAGCUGUGUGAAUUUCUGCGGUGCCCGUACCGCAAACCGACACAGGUAGGUAGGAAGAAGAUUCUAAGGCCAACGGGAGAAGGGUUGUUAAGGAACUCGGCAAAUUGACCCCGUAACUUCGGGAGAAGGGGUGCUGCAGCAAUGCAGCCGCAGAGAAUCGGCCCGAGCAACUGUUUACCAAAAACACAGGUUUGUGCUAAAUCGAAAGAUGACGUAUACGAGCUGACGCCUGCCCGGUGCUGGAAGGUUAAGAGGAGAUGUGCAAGCAUUGAAUCGAAGCCCCAGUGAACGGCGGCCGUAACGAUAACGGUCCUAAGGUAGCGAAAUUCCUUGUCAGGUAAGUUCUGACCCGCAUGAAAGGCGUAAUGAUUUGGGCACUGUCUCAACAGCCCGCCCGGCGAAAUUGUAGUACCGGUGAAGAUGCCGGUUACCCGCGACAAGACGGAAAGACCCCAUGGAGCUUUACUGUAGCCUAAUAUUGGGUUUCGAUGUUGCAUGCACAGGAUAGAUGGGACACAGGGAAGCAGGUGCUUUGGCGCUUGUGGAGUGGCCGUUGGGAUACCAUCCUUGCGAUAUUGGAAUUCUAACCUGCGCCUUUGAAUCAAGGCGGGGGACAUUGUUAGGUGGGCAGUUUGACUGGGGCGGUCGCCUCCUAAAGAGUAACGGAGGCGUUCAAAGGUUCGCUCAGCUUGAACGGAAAUCAAGCAAAAGAGUGCAAACGCAGAAGCGAGCCUAACUGCGAGACUGACGGGUCGAGCAGUUACGAAAGUUGGAGUUAGUGAUCCGGUGGUAUGUGAGUGGAAAUGCCAUCGCUCAACGGAUAAAAGUUACCCUGGGGAUAACAGGCUGAUCUCCCCCAAGAGUCCACAUGACGGGGAGGUUUGGCACCUCGAUGUCGGCUCAUCGCAUCCUGGGGCUGUAUUCGGUCCCAAGGGUUUGGCUGUUCGCCAAUUAAAGCGGUACGCGAGCUGGGUUCAGAAUGUCGUGAGACAGUUCGGUCCCUAUCUGUCGUGGGCGCAGGAUAUUUGAUGGGAGCUGUUCCUAGUACGAGAGGACCGGAGCGGACGUACCUCUGGCGCACCAGUUGUUCUGCCAAGAGCAUAGCUGGGCAACUAUGUACGGAUCGGAUAAACGCUGAAAGCAUCUAAGCGUGAAGCCGACCCAAAGAUAAGAUAUCCCAUGGUUUCAAACAAGUAAGACCCCUUGAAGACUACAAGGUUGAUAGGCACGAUGUGUAAGUGGAGCGAUCCAUUCAGCAAGCGUGUACUAAUAGGUCGAGGGCUUGACUG
RNAcentral lists this ribosomal RNA (1421 nucleotides) under metagenome. RNAcentral's name for it is "bacterial LSU rRNA". It matches the Rfam family "Bacterial large subunit ribosomal RNA", at positions 1422 to 2925 of the family's 2925-position model. The record is from RNAcentral.